GAUGAACGCUGGCGGCGUGCCUAAUACAUGCAAGUCGAGCGAACAGACGAGGAGCUUGCUCCUCUGACGUUAGCGGCGGACGGGUGAGUAACACGUGGAUAACCUACCUAUAAGACUGGGAUAACUUCGGGAAACCGGAGCUAAUACCGGAUAAUAUAUUGAACCGCAUGGUUCAAUAGUGAAAGACGGUUUUGCUGUCACUUAUAGAUGGAUCCGCGCCGCAUUAGCUAGUUGGUAAGGUAACGGCUUACCAAGGCAACGAUGCGUAGCCGACCUGAGAGGGGGAUCGGCCACACUGGAACUGAGACACGGUCCAGACUCCUACGGGAGGCAGCAGUAGGGAAUCUUCCGCAAUGGGCGAAAGCCUGACGGAGCAACGCGGCGUGAGUGAUGAAGGUCUUCGGAUCGUAAAACUCUGUUAUUAGGGAAGAACAAAUGUGUAAGUAACUAUGCACGUCUUGACGGUACCUAAUCAGAAAGCCACGGCUAACUACGUG
This 497-nucleotide ribosomal RNA is filed under the name uncultured bacterium. RNAcentral's name for it is "partial 16S ribosomal RNA". It matches the Rfam family "Bacterial small subunit ribosomal RNA", at positions 28 to 507 of the family's 1533-position model. The record is from RNAcentral.